UACGGAGGGGGCUAGCGUUGUUCGGAAUUACUGGGCGUAAAGCGCACGUAGGCGGCUUUGCAAGUUAGAGGUGAAAGCCCGGGGCUCAACUCCGGAAUUGCCUUUAAAACUGCAUCGCUAGAAUUGUGGAGAGGUAAGUGGAAUUCCGAGUGUAGAGGUGAAAUUCGUAGAUAUUCGGAAGAACACCAGUGGCGAAGGCGACUUACUGGACACAUAUUGACGCUGAGGUGCGAAAGCGUGGGGGAGCAAACAGG
This 254-nucleotide ribosomal RNA is filed under the name uncultured bacterium. RNAcentral describes it as "partial 16S ribosomal RNA". It matches the Rfam family "Bacterial small subunit ribosomal RNA", at positions 524 to 776 of the family's 1533-position model. The record is from RNAcentral.